UACGUAGGGUGCGAGCGUUAAUCGGAAUUACUGGGCGUAAAGCGUGCGCAGGCGGUUUUGUAAGGCAGAUGUGAAAUCCCCGGGCUCAACCUGGGAAUGGCAUUUGGGACUGCAAGGCUGGAGUACGGCAGAGGAGACUGGAAUUCCUGGUGUAGCAGUGAAAUGCGUAGAUAUCAGGAGGAACACCGAUGGCGAAGGCAGAUCUCUGGGCCGUAACCGACGCUGAGGAGCGAAAGCGUGGGGAGCGAACAGG
Molecule: ribosomal RNA, 253 nt
Filed under: uncultured bacterium
Lineage: Bacteria
Description: partial 16S ribosomal RNA
Rfam family: Bacterial small subunit ribosomal RNA
Source: RNAcentral